UGGGGAAUAUUGGACAAUGGGCGAAAGCCUGAUCCAGCCAUGCCGCGUGUGUGAAGAAGGUCUUCGGAUUGUAAAGCACUUUAAUUUGGGAGGAAGGGCAGUAAGCGAAUACCUUGCUGUUUUGACGUUACCGACAGAAUAAGCACCGGCUAACUCUGUGCCAGCAGCCGCGGUAAUACAGAGGGUGCAAGCGUUAAUCGGAAUUACUGGGCGUAAAGCGCGCGUAGGUGGUUCGUUAAGUUGAAUGUGAAAGCCCCGGGCUCAACCUGGGAACUGCAUCCAAAACUGGCGAGCUAGAGUAGGGCAGAGGGUGGUGGAAUUUCCUGUGUAGCGGUGAAAUGCGUAGAUAUAGGAAGGAACACCAGUGGCGAAGGCGACCACCUGGGCUCAUACUGACACUGAGGUGCGAAAGCGUGGGGAGCAAACAGG
RNAcentral lists this ribosomal RNA (429 nucleotides) under Pseudomonadota bacterium. RNAcentral's name for it is "Proteobacteria bacterium partial 16S ribosomal RNA". It matches the Rfam family "Bacterial small subunit ribosomal RNA", at positions 355 to 776 of the family's 1533-position model. Lineage: Bacteria; Pseudomonadati; Pseudomonadota. The record is from RNAcentral.